CCUUUUUGGAGACAGAUUCGCAGUGGUCGCUUCUUCUCCUUGGAUUUGUUAAGGAUUCCAAGUAACUCUUAUUUGGUGAGUAAAUCUGCUAAUUGUUUUUUGCUUAUCAGCUCUUUGUCAAUGAUUUCUGUAAUGGAAAUAGGAUUGAAGAGACUUUUAUUCUAGUUGGUCAGGAUUUACCUCUG
Molecule: long non-coding RNA, 185 nt
Organism: Homo sapiens (human)
Lineage: Eukaryota; Metazoa; Chordata; Mammalia; Primates; Hominidae
Gene: SNHG3
Product: small nucleolar RNA host gene 3
Source: Ensembl